GUUUAGGUGAUAAUAACAGGCAGUUAUAGUUUACUUGGGUGGAGGGGCCUUUUAAAUAAUCCUAGUUUGCCCUCAUUCCUGGCUCUCAUAUUCACUUGGGGAAGUGAUAAGAAGAAACAGAUCCCUUUUUCUUUCUUAAAAACAAGGAAACAAAACUCUCUUCCCAAUCCCAUUAUCUUAUCAAAGACCCCUCCUGCAUCUGUUCCUCUGCCUUUCACAUUUCGUCACAAAAAUCAGACGGUACUUCAGCAAUGUUAUCUCUUAGAGUUUCUAGUUCUUAAAGACCCCCAAAUCCCACUCUAAAUCCUAAUCCUGAAAAGGAAUCAUUUCCACAGAUUGCAAAAAGAAUUGGAGAGGCCCGUGGGAAAACAUGAAACCAUAAAAAGUGAACUUAACCAGGAAUAAGACAAGGAAGUCUGGAUUUGCGAGAACUUUAUGAAUUAAGGAAUCCAAUCUAGAGCCACUGAUCUCCUGUAUUCUUUACAUUUGGAGGAAUCAACCAUGAAGGAGUUGGCCACGGUGUCAGCAUGUGAAGGCAGAGGAACUCCAGCUCAGAGAGAGGCUUCCCUGGAUCCACUUGCCUCAACGACCCUCUGAUGGAAUCCAGGGGAGAUCAAACAAUGGAUGUGAUCAAGAAACAAACAAAUGGAGAAUGAAGAAAGAGCAAAGAGACAAGAAUAACAAAGAUACAGCAUAAGAAUAUGAAUUGAGCUGUUUUUUCUAAUGUACUUUGGACAUAUAAGAGGCAUCUUCAUCUCAGAAAUUGACCUUGGACUUAUCUAGCAUAUUAUUCUUUUGUUGAACAACGUUAAACAUCUGCUUACCAAAUAUUUGCUGCCAUUCUAAAAACUUCUAAGCACUGUGCUCAAUAGAAAACUGAAGUAUUUCACAAAAUCUAUUCUCAUAGUAGCUUUUUAAAAAAGAUAUUUCUGAUUACAUGUUCCACUUGUGCACCUGAGCACCUAGAGAAAGGAGACCUUGGGAGGACUAUUUCUAACCAGCAACUGAAAACAUCAACAUUCUUAUUCCCAUAACCACACUUACUUCAGUAUAAUAGGUGAUUUCACCUUUCUUAGAAGAUUGAGUUUAUUGACUUGCCCAAAUAAUGUAAUAAUGGGGUAAGUGUGUGUAUUAGUCCAUUUUCAUGCUGCUAUGAAGACAUACCUGAGACUGGGUAAUUUAUAAAGAAAAGAGGUUUAAUUGGUUCACAGUUCUGCAUGGCUAGGAAUCCUCAGGAAACUUAUAAUCAUGGUGGAAGAUGAAACAGGCACAUCUUACAUGGUGACAGGCCUUACUCAGAAAGCACCCUGCGCUGGCAUUUCAUAAGUAAACAGAAGAAAUGUCCUACUUGCAAAACUCUGAAUAUAGCUGAAUCCCUCAAGGGCAUAGAGGUUUAAGCAUACAGAAGUCAAAGGCAACCUUUUUGUUCUGUGAAGGUGCUGCCAUUAGGCAGCUGAGGACCAGCUGUGGGACCAACAGUCUUGGGUUGGAGCCUUUUUGAGAUAAAGGAAAGACAAUACCUUGGACUUAAAUAAGCAAUUCUGCUUUCCAAGUGUUGGUAGGCAGAACAAUGAUCCCCCCAGAAUAUUCACAUUUUGACUCCUGGACUUGUGAAAAUGUUAUGUUAAAUGGCCAAUGGAAGAAAAGUUACAUAUGAAAUUAAGGUUCCUAAUUAACUGACUUUAAGGUAAGAAUAUUAUGCCUGAUUUACCUGUGGGCCCAAUGUAACUGCAAGGGCCCUUAAACAAGGAAGAGGGAAGCAGAAGUGCCAGAACCAGAGGGAUAGCAUCAUGAGAAGGAUUUAACUGGCCAUUGCUGGCUUUGAAGAUGUAAGAGGGUCAAGAGACAAGAAAUGUGAGUGACCUCUAGAAGCUGGAAAAGGCAAGUAAAUGGAUUCUCUCCGAGUGUCUGCAGAAAGAAAAGCAGCCUUUUCAUCAACUUGAUUGUCACUCUGUGAGACUGAUUUUGGACUUCUGACUUCCAGGACCCUAAGAUAACAAAUUUGUGUUGUUUUUAGAACAAAGUUCCUGGUAAUUUGUUACAUCAAUAAUAAGAAAUGGACACAUCAAGAAAAUUUAAAAAGGAGAAAAGAACAAAUAAAAAGAGUAACAUAAAGACUAGAUGAGCACAGGGAACUCGCAUGUGUGCACAUUCCACAAAAGAAGCUAUAACGUGAUUACAGAAAGGAAGUCAUAAUAAACAAAUAAAUGUAUAUUGGAAAUAUGGAAAGGAAUACAGAGAACAAUGCAAUAUAAGGACAGACAAAGGCAUCCAGCUAUGAUUUUUCUCUCUUUAGCAGUUUGAAAGACAGAAAAUAUUCUUUUCUUUUUUUCGGUUCUGCAGUUCUGAAUUUUGAAAACUUUGCAAAAAAUUAAGCAUUCAAUUCAAAUGCCAAAUAAGAAAACUUUUAGUGCAAAUUCAAAGAAAAAUAAAAAUAGGUAUCUCAUAGUUUCAACAUAUGUUCAAAUCUUUCAAAUUUGAGCGAGAUAGGCAAGGUGCUUUAGGUUCCUUCGCUUCUCUCACUUCAAGCUAUUUGUUAGUUAGAAUGUUUGAUUUUCUGAUCCUCUGCCCAGAAAAAUGUAUUGCCAGUGGAAAGUAUUGUCAAUAAACAACCAUAGAAUUCUGCUUUAAAUCGUUCUGAUGCUUAUAAGAAAAGACACGAAUUCAUUUUGCAGACAUGCUUUUUCUGUUCACAAUUGCAAUUGAAAAUUGCAGUGAGCUACUUAAAAGCAGAACCGUUGAAUGGAACUUGUCUUAUAACAGAACCAGUUUUAAAUGGACAAUUGUAUACCUUAGAGCUGUCACCAGCCUUUAGCCUUGUACACAGCAUACAUGUAAUCAGUUGCCAUCAUACAUUGAAGAUAGUUAAGAAUAGAGUUACUGAGCAUCUAUUGUCAUCACAAAAAUGUGAAAGCUACUAAGGCAAAUAUGUGAAUAUAAACACAAUCCCUGGCCUCAAGGUAUUUAAAGUAAAAUUGUUCUAACUACAAUAAAAUUCAG
This 3000-nucleotide long non-coding RNA is filed under the name Homo sapiens (human). RNAcentral describes it as "HSALNT0127972". The record is from RNAcentral. Lineage: Eukaryota; Metazoa; Chordata; Mammalia; Primates; Hominidae.